UUGGAGGGCAAGUCUGGUGCCAGCAGCCGCGGUAAUUCCAGCUCCAAUAGCGUAUAUUAAAGUUGUUGCAGUUAAAAAGCUCGUAGUUGAAUUUCGGGAUUUAUCCGUCGGUCGGGCUUUUGGGUCUGUACUGGCGUGAUGGAUUCCUACCUUCUGAAUAACCGGCAUGUCAUUAAUUUGGUGCGCCGGGGAAGCAGGACUGUUACCUUGAAAAAAAUAGAGUGCUUAAAGCAGGCUUAUGCCUGAAUACAUUAGCAUGGAAUAAUGAAAUAGGACGGCAUGGUUCUAUUUUGUUGGUUUCUAGGAUCACCGUAAUGAUUAAUAGGGAUAGUUGGGGGCAUUAGUAUUCAAUUGUCAGAGGUGAAAUUCUUGGAUUUAUUGAAGACUAACUUCUGCGAAAGCAUUUGCCAAGGAUGUUUUCAUUAAUCAAGAACGAAAGUUAGGGGAUCGAAGACGAUCAGAUACCGUCGUAGUCUUAACCAUAAACUAUGCCGACUAGGGAUCGGACGAUGUUAAUUUUUUAAUGACUCGUUCGGCGCCUUACGGGAAAC
This 551-nucleotide ribosomal RNA is filed under the name uncultured Acaulospora. RNAcentral describes it as "SSU rRNA". It matches the Rfam family "Eukaryotic small subunit ribosomal RNA", at positions 548 to 1098 of the family's 1831-position model. The record is from RNAcentral. Lineage: Eukaryota; Fungi; Glomeromycota; Glomeromycetes; Diversisporales; Acaulosporaceae.